AAGCAGAUAGUGAAAUUGUGUGCCUCAACCAUACACCCAUUAUCUGAACUGCUAAGCUAGAGUAUAUGAGAGGUAGCUGGAAUUCCUAGUGUAGGAGUGAAAUCCGUAGAUAUUAGGAGGAACACCGAUGGCGUAGGCAGGCUACUGGCAUAUUACUGACACUAAGGCACGAAAGCGUGGGGAGCGAACGGGAUUAGAUACCCCGGUAGUCCACGCCGUAAACGAUGGAUGCUAGCUGUUAUUCGUAUCGACCCGAGUAGUAGCGAAGCUAACGCGUUAAGCAUCCCGCCUGUGGAGUACGAGCGCAAGCUUAAAACAUAAAGGAAUUGACGGGGACCCGCACAAGCGGUGGAGCGUGUUGUUUAAUUCGAUGAUAAGCGAAGAACCUUACCAAGGCUUGACAUCCCUGGAAGGUCUCCGAAAGGAGACUGUGCCUUCGGGAAUCAGGUGACAGGUGCUGCAUGGCCGUCGUCAGCUCGUGUCGUGAGAUGUUUGGUUAAGUCCAUCAACGAGCGCAACCCUUGUGAUUAGUUGAAUAUUCUAAUCAGACUGCCUCGGUAACGGGGAGGAAGGAGGGGAUGAUGUCAGGUCAGUAUUGCCCUUAUGCCUUGGGCUACAAACACGCUACAAUGGCCGGUACAAAGGGCUGCCAACCCGCGAGGGGGAGCAAAUCCCAUCAAAGCCGGUCCCAGUUCGGAUAGCAGGCUGAAACUCGCCUGCUUGAAGUCGGAAUCGCUAGUAACGGUGAGUCAGCUAUAUUACCGUGAAUACGUUCCCGGGUCUUGUACACACCGCCCGUCAAGCCAUGAAAGUCACCAAUACCUGACAUCUGG
RNAcentral lists this ribosomal RNA (833 nucleotides) under uncultured bacterium. Its description in RNAcentral is "bacterial SSU rRNA". It matches the Rfam family "Bacterial small subunit ribosomal RNA", at positions 585 to 1431 of the family's 1533-position model. The record is from RNAcentral.